CACUUUACAUGGUGUUCAAGAUGGUUACUUCCGCCCACUCUGAAGAGUCUCGGCGUCUGAUUGGUCCAAUUUUCAGUUAGGCGCCGCCUGAUUGGCCGCUGGACGAUGUCUGCUCCUAACAGAUGGCUAAAUCACUAGUUAACUAUUUUCAUCAUGGAAGUUAUACAGCUCAUGUAUCACACUUAAUAUUGAAUAUAUAUAUAAAAAGGGUUUUCCAAAAGGACCAUUUAUAAUCGAAAUACACAACUUCACACACGAUUUUGAGCACAACAGAGCGCUCAGUGAACAUCACUUCCGGGACCUGCAUCACCGGAGGGGGACAUCUAUCUUGGUCACAAACCAUCUUUGACAGUCUUCGACAGCAUGGUUGAAUCAGGCGCAUCAACACAUGAUAUAGACAUCGUGCCCAAAAGAAGAGCGAGACGUAAUCCUGAGGCUGAAGCCACCGAGUUUAUUUGAUCUGGAUGUGACAAGUCUUGUUUUAAGGCCCAGUGGAUCAAUGAUUGGAAAGACACCAACUGUUGAUGUUCUAUCUCAACAUUCUCCAGAUUCAUGUGAGCGAUAAACCGACUUCAUCCCUCCAACAGACACCAACUGUUGGGGUUCUAUCUCAACAUUCUCCAGAUUCAGAUGUGAGCGAUAAACCGACUUCAUCCCUCCAACAGAAACCAACUGUUGAGGUUCCAUCUCAACAUUCUCCGGAUUCAGAUGUGAGCCAUUAACUGACUUCAUCCCUCCAACAGAAACCAACUGUUUGAGGUUCUAUCUCAACAUUCUCUAGAUUCAGAUGACAGCCAUAAACCGACUUCAUCCCUCCAACAGAUUGACAGCAGGACAAAUCGCUGGAAGUGGGUAUGUCUCAAGCUUCUUCCACUUGGUCCACUCCAAAGCGGGGUAAAUAAAUAAUCCACAUCAUUUACUAGAAUAUUAUAUUACGUUUUGCACCUUUUCACUGUGUUAUAGUCAUUUUUCCUUCAGUAAGAAAU
This is a long non-coding RNA of Nerophis ophidion (straightnose pipefish), 986 nucleotides long. RefSeq lists it as uncharacterized. The transcript has 7 exons. The record is from RefSeq and is a predicted model, not a curated record. NCBI's taxonomy places the organism in Eukaryota, Metazoa, Chordata, Actinopteri, Syngnathiformes, Syngnathidae.